This 419-nucleotide ribosomal RNA is filed under the name bacterium. Its description in RNAcentral is "partial 16S ribosomal RNA". It matches the Rfam family "Bacterial small subunit ribosomal RNA", at positions 355 to 776 of the family's 1533-position model. The record is from RNAcentral.
UGGGGGAUAUUGCACAAUGGGCGAAAGCCUGAUGCAGCGACGCCGCGUGGGGGAUGAAGGCCUUCGGGUUGUAAACUUCUUUUGCUCUGAACAAGGCAUGCUAAUGGGUGUGUUGAGUGUAGGGGUUGAUUAGCGCCGGCUAACUACGUGCCAGCAGCCGCGGUAAUACGUAGGGCGCGAGCGUUGUCCGGAAUUAUUGGGCGUAAAGGGCUUGUAGGUGGCUGGUUGCGUCUGUCGUGAAAGCUCAUGGCUUAACUGUGGGUUUGCGGUGGGUACGGGCUGGCUUGAGUGCAGUAGGGGAGGCUGGAAUUCCUGGUGUAGCGGUGGAAUGCGCAGAUAUCAGGAGGAAUACCGGUGGCGCAGGCGGGUCUCUGGGCUGUUACUGACACUGAGGAGCGAAAGCAUGGGGAGCGAACAGG